GCUGGGUGUGGUGGCGGGUGCCUGUAGUCCCAACUACUCCGGAGGCUGGGGCAGGAGAACUACUUGAACCCAGGAGUCAGAGGUUGCAGUGAGCCAGGAUUGCACCGCUGCACUCCAGCCUGGUGACAGAGUAAGACUCUGCUCAGAAAAAAAGAAAAAAAAAAAAAAGAAAAUAUGAGAUAUUUCAGUCAGGAAAACAGAAACCACUUAGGUAUUUCAACAGGGAAUUUUUUUUUUUUUUUUUUUGAGAGGGAGUUUCACUCUGUUCCCCAGGCUGGAGUGCAGUGAUGCAGUCCUGGCUCACAGCAACCUCUGCCUCCUGGGUUCAAGAGAUUCUCCUGCCUCAG
Unclassified non-coding RNA from Papio anubis (olive baboon), 347 nucleotides. It matches the Rfam family "Metazoan signal recognition particle RNA". Rfam says of the family: The signal recognition particle (SRP) is a universally conserved ribonucleoprotein. It is involved in the co-translational targeting of proteins to membranes. Lineage: Eukaryota; Metazoa; Chordata; Mammalia; Primates; Cercopithecidae. The record is from Ensembl.